GUAGGGAAUAUUGGGCAAUGGUCGGAAGACUGACCCAGCCAUGCCGCGUGCAGGAAGACGGCCCUCUGGGUUGUAAACUGCUUUUAUCUGGGAAGAAAAAGGCCAUGCGUGGCAAAUUGCCGGUACCAGAUGAAUAAGCACCGGCUAACUCCGUGCCAGCAGCCGCGGUAAUACGGAGGGUGCGAGCGUGGUCCGGAUUUAUUGGGUUUAAAGGGUGCGUAGGCGGCUGAUUAAGUCAGCGGUGAAAGACUUCGGCUUAACCGGAGCAGUGCCGUUGAUACUGGUGGGCUUGAGUGUCGGAGGGGUACAUGGAAUUGAUGGUGUAGCGGUGAAAUGCAUAGAUACCAUCAGGAACACCGAUAGCGAAGGCAUUGUACUGGCCGACAACUGACGCUGAUGCACGAAAGUGUGGGGAUCGAACAGGAUUAGAUACCCCUGUAGUCC
Molecule: ribosomal RNA, 444 nt
Filed under: uncultured bacterium
Lineage: Bacteria
Description: partial 16S ribosomal RNA
Rfam family: Bacterial small subunit ribosomal RNA
Source: RNAcentral